GUAUUAUAAGAAAGCUAUUAGGCUAACAAUGAUGUUGCUAAAUAAGGUACUGUAAUUUUACAUCUAGGAUAAAGCAUUAAGGAAAAUUAUCUCCUUGCUCCAGAAAGUUUUUGAAAUAUAAGAGAAAUUUGAUAGCACCUUAUAAUUAUUUUUUCCAAAGACUUUCUAGGGAAAAAUCCUAAUCUUUUGUUUCCAAUAGGAUGAUGGAACUGGGUCUAUACAAGAUGCUAAAAAUAAUAAGCAUUUAACAAAUAGGAUUGUGAAUCAAUCUAGAAGGGGAAGACACCUCAAAGGCUAUCUAGUUUCUCACCCAUUUAUUUUACAGAUGAAGAAACUGAUGGCCACAGAUGCUGAGUAAGUUUGUCAAGAUCACAAAGUUAGUAAUGGCACAUGUCCUCCUACUCCAGAAGCAGAGCCUCUUCUGAUCUACCAAAUGGUCUCCUAUUUUGGCAGUUUAUUACCUUUUGAAUGAAUGGGAGGCAGAGCCAAGAUGGUGGAGCACAUGCCAAGAUCCAGUUGAACUCUCCCAACAUUCUGCUCCAGACAACUUUAAAAUAACACCUCAAAUCAACUGUUGAAGAAGCAGAGCCAACAAAAAGUCAGAUGGAGAUAUUUGUCCUGCCUAAGACAACUUAGGAAGUCCAUAGGAGAAGUUUGACACCAGGAAAGACAGUGACUUCAGUGGAAGAAGUAAUAUCAAGGAGUUUGACUAUUGGCAGCAAAGAAGAGGGUCAACCAUGUAUUCAUAGAAGAAUUAGCCUAAAUGAUCAAGAGCCAAGCUACAGAAAGCAGCAAACCCUGAGAGGCCAGAGAAUAAUCAACCAAGUGGAGAGGCUACACUCAGCUGGGAGAUACAUGAGGACGCCUCAAGUUGCCCUACAGUACCAGAGAAGUGAGUUGCUUUGGGCAAAUGUGCUCUAGAUAUGUAAGUCAUU
RNAcentral lists this long non-coding RNA (935 nucleotides) under Monodelphis domestica (gray short-tailed opossum). RNAcentral describes it as "lncRNA (ENSMODG00000051573.1)". Lineage: Eukaryota; Metazoa; Chordata; Mammalia; Didelphimorphia; Didelphidae. The record is from RNAcentral.